This 266-nucleotide ribosomal RNA is filed under the name uncultured bacterium. RNAcentral's name for it is "partial 16S ribosomal RNA". It matches the Rfam family "Bacterial small subunit ribosomal RNA", at positions 28 to 294 of the family's 1533-position model. The record is from RNAcentral.
GACGAACGCUGGCGGCGUGCUUAACACAUGCAAGUCGAGCGGUAAGGCCCUUUCGGGGGUACACGAGCGGCGAACGGGUGAGUAACACGUGGGUGACCUGCCCUCAGCUCUGGGAUAAGCCUGGGAAACCGGGUCUAAUACUGGAUAUGACUCCAUGACGCAUGUUGUGGGGUGGAAAGCCUUGUGCGGCUGAGGAUGGGCCCGCGGCCUAUCAGCGUUGUUGGUGGGGUGAUGGCCUACCAAGGCGACGACGGGUAGCCGGGCCU